Molecule: long non-coding RNA, 3691 nt
Filed under: Salmo salar (Atlantic salmon)
Lineage: Eukaryota; Metazoa; Chordata; Actinopteri; Salmoniformes; Salmonidae
Description: lncRNA (ENSSSAG00000116604.1)
Source: RNAcentral
GGGACUUCCUAUUUAAUGGUCCUAAUAGUAAAGACAUUACCUUUUAAUGAACACAACCAGUCACGAUGUUUUCAUCUAUCAAACAAAUCACUUCAAAAACCUAGACUACCUAAAACGUAGGCUACCUGGGCACGUUGGCCCACUCCAAAAUAAUUCCAGUACCCAAACAAUGCACUGUGCACCUGCCAUUUGAUGGAGGGAAAGAGACGUUACAAAAUCACAAAAAGUGUAAUGACAUUCGCGAUUGUCAUUAGGCCUACAAUAUUGUAGCCUGAAUUAAUUGAUGCGUCUUGCUGACAAAUGAAAAAUAUAUCAUAAUCGGGACACGUGAAAAGGGGCUGAAAUUGUCACGUUUCUCUAAAGCUGAACCCAGAAGCAGACCAGGACAAGGUGAGUAAAAUGAAGGUGAGUAUUUAUUCACAGACUCGAGGCAGCGGAGGUGAGUUGAUGAGAGUGAAUAGGCAGAUCCAAUGAUGUCACUGAAACCACCGACGACCAGGCAAGGGGGGCGAAUGUUCCGGGAGGAUGACUGUAGACAGCGUAAACAGGGUUGAGUAACCGGCAAGAAGUACAUAACAACAAAACUAACUCUGGUAACAUGAGCUGAUACGCUGACACAACCUAAUGUUCAUUGCUAACGAUCCGGCAGGGAAUGGAUGUCAGGUCAGGGUUUAUGAAGAGAAGAGGUGAUGAUCAGGACCAGGUGUGCAGAUGGCUGAUGAGAUGCAGGUGCGGGUAAUUGAGAGAUCUCCCGCCUAGCUUCGUCGCCCGGCAACCAGACAGGGUGUGUUCAGAAACAACUCCAAAACAGAAAACAGUCAGCUCAGGCAGAACACAGACUCAGGAAGCGGGAUUCAUGACAGGAAUACAGGACAAAAAUACAGCUGUGUCUGUCCGGAGCUCAUUAGUGCGGGGAAACUGUGAGGGUCCAGUUAAAACAAUGUUGCAAGUUCGCUAGCGAGCUGGACCAAGUCGUUACAAUGUUGCAAGUUUGCUAGGGAAAGCUCAAGACAGACAGAGAGAGACAGGAGACAGGCGGAGUAGAGAGAUUAAUGCGAUUGAAAGAACCUGAACAAACUGUCACUGGUUUAAGCCUAAGCACGAAACAUGGAGAUGCCUUCAAAUUAUGUAGGCAACACCACUCAAAUUUACGUAAAAUAAUUCAAAAUAGUCCCUUUAAUAUUCAGAAUGUUGAAUACACUUCAGUGGUGUUAGUCGGAUUUUGAGACAAAGUAUCCACAGAAGUGUUAUUAACCCCAUGUUUUAGGUAUAUACUGUGUAUAUAUAUAAAAAAUUACUACACAAAAUUAGAAACAAUUUACAUCCCUACAUCAAACAUGUCUAACAAAACAAAACACAAGUAUAAACAAGAAAAUACUACUAUAUCCUUACUACUAUAAUACUAUAUCCUUCAUGUUAAAAACAGGAGUAGUGCUCAAAAAGGUAAAUAUGUAUUCUGCAAGGUUUUUCCAAAACUCUAUCACAGAUUUACAUCCAUAGAACAAGUGAGUUAGAUUUUCACCUUUUUCUUUUGCAGAAAACGCAGAUAUCAUCAAUAUCAACAAAUUUGGACAACAUAGAAUUACAUGGAUAUAUCUUAUGUAGAAUCUUAAAGUGCACUUCCUUAAAUUUGUUUGGUAUAAAAUAUCUGUAAGGCUUCAAACAAGCUUUUUCCCCAGACAUAGUCAGGAAUAAGCAUGUUCCAGAAAAUGUUUCCUCUAGGCAUAAAUUGGUUCCGUGAAUGGAAAAUGUGUAUUUGUUACAAGAUUUCUCGAGUAAGUCCACGCCUUUCAAACUGAGUUCUGGAUAAACUCUGUGAUCAUCACCAAAGCUAAGAUUAAUUUUCAUUAGUGUAGUAAGACCACUGGGAAUGGCUUUUUAUCACAGAAAUAAACUCUCUGAAAGUUAUUGGAAACUCAUUCAAUGUUAUAAAUUUGAAAGAAUAUUACCCCUGUUGGUGAAAACAUUAAGAACAAAGUCAAUAUUCCUCUCAUGGCAGCUAGGGUAGAACAAUUACUUAUUCCUUACAGUUAUGCCUGAAUUAUUCCACAAAAGAGCUUUAUGUGGGGUAAAAUUGUACAGGAAACAUUAAAGAUUGUUGGUGAAACCUACACUGAAAAAACGGGACAGAUUUAUGUGAUUUACUCAAACAUGUUUUGUUUCUCCUCACAACACAAUUUCAUUGUUUGCGAUCAAUGCAACACGAAGCAAAAUCUGAUCUACUAGUUUGAAUCAUGUAGUUGGAGUGUGAACCAAUAAAGCUAAUUCAUGACGAGUAAUGAGGAAGAAGUCAAACCGCGUGAGAGAAGAAUCUUCCAGAAAGAUCCUUGGCGCGUUAGCGGAGAAGACAAUAUCUAGAAUCGUGGUCAAGGAGAAACAGAAGAGAGCCUCGAGGACAUGCGGAAAGCUCUACUGUCUGAUGUGAAGAAAAGGAACAACAGAGAGACGGUGAAGUUCAAAAUGGAGAAGACGUUUGCAUACAGGAGACAUUAAGUUGUCCGUGACGCACCCUUGGUAGAGGACUUCAUGGCAAGAUGGCCUGCGCUCUUUGAAGUCAUUGAGGGAAGUUAGCCAUGCUUGUUUUAUUGUUGAUCUAUUGGUCAUGUUAUCUGAGAUUGGUUGGUGAAGGUAGAAGAUUGUUUUCCCUCAGCUUGCCUAAUUGGGCAUGGAUGAAGAGUCCACCAAGGCAGCUGUUGAGGACACUACUGUGGGGAUCUACAUUAUCAAAGACCAUUUCGCGAGUGAGGAUCCAGGGGACACUGGGAUUGUCCUUGAAGGCGUCAAGGUGCUGCAGGAUCUGGGCAACGUAGCAUUUGCUGUUGCAAUGCUGUUCGGCCUCAUGUAUGCCAUGAACCUCAGUUACCCUAACUGAGCCCCGCUACACUUUUGAUGUCUUUCAGAAGGUUUUUAUGGAACUGAAUGGGGACAAACUUUCUAACAAAGCUGUUGCAUUUAAAAACAGGCUGUUUCAGUGAGCUGUUUUGUUGUAUGUUGUGUUUCACACUGUAUGUUUGACUUAUGUUUAACUUGUUAGAUUGUUCACAAAAACUCAAAACAGAAUGAGCAUGUCCAAAGAUGGAGCUAUCGUGAUUUCCUUAAUUUUCUUUGCUGCUUAUGGAAAAAGUUCAGUUUCACUUUGUAGUGACUUUUAGUCAAUAUAAUUAACAUGCACAAAUAUGUCCACAUACCUACCUCAUUCUUUGUCUGUUACUCCUUAUGAAAAAUAACUACCUCAUUUUGUAACAAAAUGCAUUAGAGGGCCCAAUCAUUGUUAGGACAACUCUUCUUUUUUUAUAUAUACAGAUACUGUAUAAAGGCUACAGCCCCUUGAUUUAGACCUGUGCAAUUCAUUGAACACUGAAUGUCAGUGAAUGGACAUUUGUCAUUCCAAAGAGCUGAACCGUUACAAAAAAUACAAUAUCAUUUUUGAAACGCAUGCCUUUGCCUUCUUUGUCACUGAUGCAAAUGGUCUCUUGCUCCUUGGUUACACAUCCUUAGAAAACGUUUUAUUUCCCUAUUAAUUUGUUUAAAUACAAACACUAAGGCAGAAAAUGACAGCAUUUCAUCUUGUGCUUACAUUAAUAAUUAUGUAGAACCUUAAAUUAUGGACAAAGUUAUUCAUAAUUAUGAGUAACAUCGGAACAUGAUCAAAUACAUUUCAAGCUACACAUUUAAUUCAAAUAAAAUUUAC